This 1076-nucleotide unclassified non-coding RNA is filed under the name Hevea brasiliensis (rubber tree). Lineage: Eukaryota; Viridiplantae; Streptophyta; Magnoliopsida; Malpighiales; Euphorbiaceae. The record is from RNAcentral.
AAAAACAACAGCUUUUAACACUCACUGAUAAGCGUAAACACGAGAACAAAAUGCAAGACGAAUGAUUGGGAGAGAAGGGAAGAGAGGGGGAGGGAGUUUGCAGAUGCCUACCACUGAAUUGACGAGACAUUUACAUCACAACACCAAGAAAUACAAAGAAUUAGACUGGACCAACCAAAAUCUCUUUUCCGCUUUGACAGAUUUAGACUGAUUUAACGCGUAGUUUGUUGGCUACGUAGAGGAGGUGACUGAUAUUUGUGGAUGGAUAAUUUUGGAGUAGCUUCAAAUUAGAAGUGAAAUCCCCAGCAAGUAGACGCCUCCGAACAAUAAUUAACAUAGCACAGCAGACUCGAAGCAGCGUUUCCAGAGGUCCUUCAGGAUCACUUAGUAGUGUGUCCCAUAUAAGCAGGCUGUCCGGGAAGUUGAAUUCUUGUGUUAGCAGAAGUGUUAUCCAUCUGAAUGCGUAGAACUGUGGAUUCACUUUGGUUGUCAUUUCAAGAUGCCGCCAGAGCUCCUCAUCAUGUUCUUUCAGAAAUUGUGAUAACUUUGUAAUUGUAGAACGAAUUCCAACAACACUAUUGUCAAGUUGCUGACAAAAAUGAUCACGAAAUCCACUCAAUAGCUCCACGAAGCAGAAGAAAGUGUCUGCUUCUGCAGAUGCUGCAUUUUCCUCAUUGGGAUCGUUCCUGAAUACAUAGAAUAGUGGAGCCAAUACUUCAUUCAUCCCUUGCACGUAUCUUAUACCAGGAUUGAGUUUGGCAAAGAUAAUGAGUAUAUUCCUCAGAGAGUCCUGGUUAGAUUUUGCAAAUGGUGUGUCCCCAGAGAAAAAGUGCAGGUCUGGAUGUGUGCGCUUGACAUCUCGAUCUAUCUGUUCAAUUAUUUCCGUGUCCUGGAAGAACUGAUUCCAUAUGCUAUUCUUCCCAAGACUUAAAGGAUGCUCUCCUUGAGGUAUCUCUGAUCUUGGGAGUGCACCCUUGUCCUCUAUAACUGUUCCUUCAUCAUCAAGUAUUACCGACUUCUCCAACUUCCUCGUAAUCUCCGAAGGAUUCACCAAAAGCUCCUCUUUAAAAUGCUUG